This 490-nucleotide ribosomal RNA is filed under the name uncultured bacterium. RNAcentral describes it as "partial 16S ribosomal RNA". It matches the Rfam family "Bacterial small subunit ribosomal RNA", at positions 30 to 507 of the family's 1533-position model. The record is from RNAcentral.
AUUGAACGCUGGCGGCAGGCCUAACACAUGCAAGUCGAACGGUAACAGGAAGAAGCUUGCUUCUUUGCUGACGAGUGGCGGACGGGUGAGUAAUGUCUGGGAAACUGCCUGAUGGAGGGGGAUAACUACUGGAAACGGUAGCUAAUACCGCAUAACGUCGCAAGACCAAAAAGGGGGACCUUCGGGCCUCUUGCCAUCAGAUGUGCCAAGAUGGGAUUAGCUAGUAGGUGGGGUAACGGCUCACCUAGGCGACGAUCCCUAGCUGGUCUGAGAGGAUGACCAGCCACACUGGAACUGAGACACGGUCCAGACUCCUACGGGAGGCAGCAGUGGGGAAUAUUGCACAAUGGGCGCAAGCCUGAUGCAGCCAUGCCGCGUGUAUGAAGAAGGCCUUCGGGUUGUAAAGUACUUUCAGCGGGGAGGAAGGGAGUAAAGUUAAUACCUUUGCUCAUUGACGUUACCCGCAGAAGAAGCACCGGCUAACUCCGUG